Long non-coding RNA from Bufo bufo (common toad), 254 nucleotides. RefSeq lists it as uncharacterized. The record is from RefSeq and is a predicted model, not a curated record. The transcript is spliced from 3 exons. Lineage: Eukaryota; Metazoa; Chordata; Amphibia; Anura; Bufonidae.
GCUUUAGGUGUGAAGAGAGAAGCGUGAGGGUUUACACAUGGGACUGUAUGGUUUCUUAGGUACAGGACUCUUCUUAUGAUAGACAAUAGACCAUUCCAUCAAUGACCCACCAAGGAUGGAGAAGGACAGAGACCACAUGGCUGCGAGGAUAUUAGACCUCACCCUGGAGAUCAUCUCCUUGAUAACUGGAGAGGAUUACACAGUAGUGAAGAAGUCGUCUGGUGAGUGUGUGACACCCCGUGUGUCAGGAGGAU